UACAGAGGUCCCGAGCGUUGUUCGGAUUCACUGGGCGUAAAGGGUGCGUAGGUGGCCUGAAAAGUUUGAUGUGAAAGCUCAGGGCUUAACCCUGAAAUGGCAUUGAAUACUGUCGGGCUGGAGGUUUGGAGGGGGGACUGGAAUUCUUGGUGUAGCAGUGAAAUGCGUAGAUAUCAAGAGGAACACCAGUGGCGAAGGCGGGUCUCUGGGCCGUUACUGACGCUGAGGAGCGAAAGCGUGGGGAGCGAACAGG
RNAcentral lists this ribosomal RNA (253 nucleotides) under uncultured bacterium. RNAcentral describes it as "partial 16S ribosomal RNA". It matches the Rfam family "Bacterial small subunit ribosomal RNA", at positions 524 to 776 of the family's 1533-position model. The record is from RNAcentral.